Molecule: long non-coding RNA, 217 nt
Filed under: Capsicum annuum
Lineage: Eukaryota; Viridiplantae; Streptophyta; Magnoliopsida; Solanales; Solanaceae
Description: long non-coding RNA (CANN_LNC014470)
Source: RNAcentral
CAACACACCAUCAACAACUCUUUUCAUACCUUAAGCAAACCAUUAUUUACCUCCACCAAUAACUCCUUCUGUUUUUUCUAUGAGCUGACACACAAGAACAAUAUCACUUCAUCACUAACUCAAUCACAUGCAAAAGGCUCAGCUAUACUUACUUUCAAUAAAUCACACUUUCCAUCCUUUCUUUCCACAACACCGCUAAACCAGUUCUAACCAGCAC